UCGAGAAUCUUCCCCAAUGGCCGAAAGGCUGAGGGAGCGACGCCGCGUGCAGGAAGAAGCUCUUCGGAGUGUAAACUGCUUUUCUUCGGGAACAACUCUGAGUGUACCGAAGGAAUAAGGGGCUGCUAACUUCGUGCCAGCAGCAGCGGUAAUACGAAGGCCCCGAGCGUUAUCCGGAUUUAUUGGGCGUAAAGCGUUAAUAGGUGGUUCUGUAAGUAUUCGGUCAAAUCUCGUGGCUCAACCACGAGGCUGCCGGGUAAACUGCAGGACUUGAGGUCGGAAGAGGCAAGCGGAACUACCGGUGUAGUGGUAAAAUGCGUUAAUAUCGGUAGGAACACCAAAGGCGAAGGCAGCUUGCUGGUACGCACCUGACACUAAAUAACGAAAGCGUGGGGAGCGAAUGGG
Molecule: ribosomal RNA, 405 nt
Filed under: uncultured bacterium
Lineage: Bacteria
Description: bacterial SSU rRNA
Rfam family: Bacterial small subunit ribosomal RNA
Source: RNAcentral